This 71-nucleotide transfer RNA is filed under the name Boodlea composita. Its description in RNAcentral is "tRNA-Tyr". The record is from RNAcentral. Lineage: Eukaryota; Viridiplantae; Chlorophyta; Ulvophyceae; Cladophorales; Boodleaceae.
UGUGAGGUGCCCAACUGCUGAGGAGCAGUUGUAGACUGUCAUGGAAUGCCACCGCCCAUCACUCCUCGCUG